CAACAUUCCGAAAGGAGUGCUAAUACCGGAUGUGAUCAUCGUGCCGCAUGGCAGGAUGAAGAAAGAUGGCCUCUACAAGUAAGCUAUCGCUAAAGGAUGGGCCUGCGUCUGAUUAGCUAGUUGGUAGUGUAACGGACUACCAAGGCGAUGAUCAGUAGCCGGUCUGAGAGGAUGAACGGCCACAUUGGGACUGAGACACGGCCCAAACUCCUACGGGAGGCAGCAGUGGGGAAUCUUCCGCAAUGGACGAAAGUCUGACGGAGCAACGCCGCGUGAGUGAUGAAGGAUUUCGGUCUGUAAAGCUCUGUUGUUUAUGACGAACGUGCAGUGUGUGAACAAUGCAUUGCAAUGACGGUAGUAAACGAGGAAGCCACGGCUAACUACGUGCCAGCAGCCGCGGUAAUACGUAGGUGGCGAGCGUUGUCCGGAAUUAUUGGGCGUAAAGAGCAUGUAGGCGGCUUAAUAAGUCGAGCGUGAAAAUGCGGGGCUCAACCCCGUAUGGCGCUGGAAACUGUUAGGCUUGAGUGCAGGAGAGGAAAGGGGAAUUCCCAGUGUAGCGGUGAAAUGCGUAGAUAUUGGGAGGAACACCAGUGGCGAAGGCGCCUUUCUGGACUGUGUCUGACGCUGAGAUGCGAAAGCCAGGGUAGCGAACGGGAUUAGAUACCCCGGUAGUCCUGGCCGUAAACGAUGGGUACUAGGU
RNAcentral lists this ribosomal RNA (700 nucleotides) under uncultured bacterium. RNAcentral's name for it is "bacterial SSU rRNA". It matches the Rfam family "Bacterial small subunit ribosomal RNA", at positions 144 to 821 of the family's 1533-position model. The record is from RNAcentral.